AGCAGCGUGGCUCGGUGGCAAGAGCCCCGGCUUGGGAGUCGGACGUCACGGGUUCGAAUCCCGGCUCUGCCG
Non-coding RNA from Ornithorhynchus anatinus (platypus), 72 nucleotides. The record is from Rfam. Lineage: Eukaryota; Metazoa; Chordata; Mammalia; Monotremata; Ornithorhynchidae.